CGUGCCAAGUGGGGAAUCAGCGGUGCCCUGAACCUGCAAUCCGCUACAGCAGGACCGGAUCCCCCGUCUGAGGCGCAUGGUUUUGGGUUAUGGCCCGGAUAAGGAGUGUUGAGCUGCGGGUCUUGUGCAACAGACCGCUGUGAACCGUGUCAGAUCCGGAAGGAAGCAGCACUAAGCGGAUAGGUUUGUGUGCCGCAAGUCUUCCUGCGGGGAGCCACCUGUCCGGGGGUCCAGCCGGGAACCAGGCGACGAAGCGGGGUGCAC
This 264-nucleotide signal recognition particle RNA is filed under the name human gut metagenome. Its description in RNAcentral is "Bacterial large signal recognition particle RNA". It matches the Rfam family "Bacterial large signal recognition particle RNA". From Rfam's summary of the family: The signal recognition particle (SRP) is a universally conserved ribonucleoprotein involved in the co-translational targeting of proteins to membranes. The record is from RNAcentral.